UGAAAGACGAACUGUUUUGCCGGUAGUCUUGGUAAUACUAUGAAAGUUUUAGAUCCCAAUCAACAUAUAAAUUCAAAGAUGAAAAAGCCUGGAAGGAAGAGAGAUGACUAGAAACGAUUCGUUUGGCCGUAUUAUGUGUGGAUUAAUUGGCGGAGUAGCGGAGCUUGUGCAUUUCAGUCCACCUGGCCGUGCUGCUGCUCCAGUUUCAACUGUUCUGCCUGCGGCUAUGGAACCCUGACCUGUUCACCGGACGUGCUUGUUGCACCCUCGACAACUACUAUGAUUAUUAUUAUUUGACCAUGCUGGUCAUUUAUGAACAUUUUAACAUUUUAACAUUUUGACCAUGUUCUGUUAUAAUAUCCACCCUGCACAGCCAGAAGAGGACUGGCCACCCCUCAUAGCCUGGUUCCUCUCUAGGUUUCUUCCUAGGUUUUUGGCCUUUCUAGGGAGUUUUUCCUAGGGAGUUUUUCCUAGCCACCGUGCUUCUUUCACAUGCUUUGCUUGCUGUUUGGGGUUUUGGGCUGGGUUUCUGUACAGCACUUUGAGAAUAUCAGCUGAUGUACGAAGGGCUAUAUAAAAAUAAAUUUGAUUUGAAAUUUGAUGUAAGCAUUUCCCAGUUCAAAUCUAAAAGAAUGAAUUCAGAGUCAUUUAGCUUGUGCAGGACAUCAGAAAGAGAGUUUAGUGCGUCUCCCAAAGCCGAGGGCGGUCUGUAGCAGCCGACUACAGUGACGUGGGAGUCCUUAUUUGUUCACUUUAACCGCAAGCAAUUCAAAAUGUUUGGCUUUGGUAAUCGAGAGAAUUUCAGAGGUGUUAAACUUGGAUUUCACAUAGAUUGCAACCCUUCCUCCUUUACUCGUCUGAUCUGUUCUAAAAACCGCGGACCCAUCAAUAGAAAUCAAGUUAUUUGACACAGAUUUCUUUAGCCAAGUUUCUGAUAAAAACCAUUAUGUCUGCAUUUGUCGUAUUGGCCCAUAUUCUCAUCGUGUCUAUUUGGGGAAAUAGACUUCUGACAUUAACAUGCAAGAGGCCAACACAACGCUAUGUUUGUAAAAUCCUAAGGAGUCGGUAGAGAUUGCAUGGUAUCUACCGGCCCAGAGGUUGGUCCACAUUACCAGUGAUAAACAAUAAAAGCAUAACAAUAUAUCUCAGUUGCCCAAUGCAUGAGGACUUGGUGGAGCCAGCACCAUUGUCAAUAAAACGAGCUGAGUCUUUUCACAGAGAAAAAAAGUAAUUCAAGAGUUUGAGAUUUUGGAAGUAUGCCAUCAUGUGUAGGUCCAGUUGCGUUUGAGAGUGGUACAAAUGUAAUUGCAGAGAGUGUCAACCAAGGGCUCUCUAUGGUGUAGUAGGUCAGGGCGUGACUAGGGGGUGAUCUAAUAUAUCUAUUUCUAUGUUGGUGCUAAUAUGGUUCCCAAUUAGAGGCAGCUGUUUUUCGUUGCCUCUAAUUGGGGAUCAUAUUUAGGUAGCCUUUUUCCCACCUGUGUUUUGUGGGAUAUUGUUUGGUUUUGUGCUUGUUGCACCACGUAGUCACGUUUUGUUGCUUGUUAGUUGUUUUGUUGAAGAAGUGUCACGUUAAAUAAAUAUGUGAACCUCAACACAUGCUGCGCCUUGGUCCGUCUCUUACAACAACCGUGACAGAGAGAGACCAAGUUCCUGGUAGUAUUGACACGAUGGUCUCGUCGGAGUGUUUACAAAUUGUAGCCCAUAAAGCGACGAUAAUUCGCUCACCCGACUAGUGAGUUAAUCCUUAAUUUAACCUUUAUUUAACAGUUAAGAACACAUUUUUAUUUAGAAUGACUGCCUACCCCGGCAAAACCCGGACAAUUGUACGGCUGCCCAUAGGGUCGAACCCGGC
This 1852-nucleotide long non-coding RNA is filed under the name Salmo salar (Atlantic salmon). RNAcentral describes it as "lncRNA (ENSSSAG00000098376.1)". The record is from RNAcentral. Lineage: Eukaryota; Metazoa; Chordata; Actinopteri; Salmoniformes; Salmonidae.